Molecule: ribosomal RNA, 610 nt
Filed under: uncultured bacterium
Lineage: Bacteria
Description: bacterial SSU rRNA
Rfam family: Bacterial small subunit ribosomal RNA
Source: RNAcentral
AGAGUUUGAUCAUGGCUCAGGACGAACGCUGGCGGCGUGCCUAACACAUGCAAGUCGAACGGGGAUCAUGUAGCGGAAGUUUUCGGAUGGAAGGUAUAUGAUUCUAGUGGCGCACGGGUGAGUAACGCGUGAACAACCUGCCCUGUAGUGGGGGAUAACACCUGGAAACAGAUGCUAAUACCGCGUGAGACCACAGCCCGGCAUCGGGGAGAGGUCAAAGAGUAAUCGCUAUAGGAGGGGUUCGCGUCCCAUUAGGUAGUUGGUGAGAUAACAGCCCACCAAGCCGACGAUGGGUAGCCGAGCUGAGAGGCUGAUCGGCCACACUGGAACUGAGACACGGUCCAGACUCCUACGGGAGGCAGCAGUGGGGAAUAUUGGGCAAUGGGCGCAAGCCUGACCCAGCAACGCCGCGUGAGGGAAGAAGGUUUUCGGAUUGUAAACCUCUGUCGCAAGGGACGAAGAAGUGACGGUACCUUGUGAGGAAGCCCCGGCUAACUACGUGCCAGCAGCCGCGGUAAUACGUAGGGGGCGAGCGUUGUCCGGAAUUACUGGGCGUAAAGGGUGCGUAGGCGGCUUUUUAAGUUGGAUGUGAAAUACCCGGGCUUAACUU